This 468-nucleotide ribosomal RNA is filed under the name uncultured bacterium. Its description in RNAcentral is "partial 16S ribosomal RNA". It matches the Rfam family "Bacterial small subunit ribosomal RNA", at positions 28 to 507 of the family's 1533-position model. The record is from RNAcentral.
GACGAACGCUGGCGGCGUGCUUAACACAUGCAAGUCGAACGGAAAGGCCCUGCUUUUGUGGGGUGCUCGAGUGGCGAACGGGUGAGUAACACGUGAGUAACCUGCCCUUGACUUUGGGAUAACUUCAGGAAACUGGGGCUAAUACCGGAUAGGAGCUCCUGCUGCAUGGUGGGGGUUGGAAAGUUUCGGCGGUUGGGGAUGGAUUCGCGGCUUAUCAGCUUGUUGGUGGGGUAGUGGCUUACCAAGGCUUUGACGGGUAGCCGGCCUGAGAGGGUGACCGGCCACAUUGGGACUGAGAGACGGCCCAGACUCCUACGGGAGGCAGCAGUGGGGAAUAUUGCACAAUGGGCGGAAGCCUGAUGCAGCAACGCCGCGUGCGGGAUGACGGCCUUCGGGUUGUAAACCGCUUUCGCCUGUGACGAAGCGUGAGUGACGGUAAUGGGUAAAGAAGCACCGGCUAACUACGUG